Molecule: ribosomal RNA, 877 nt
Filed under: uncultured Planctomycetota bacterium
Lineage: Bacteria; Pseudomonadati; Planctomycetota
Description: bacterial SSU rRNA
Rfam family: Bacterial small subunit ribosomal RNA
Source: RNAcentral
AGAGUUUGAUCCUGGCUCAGAAUGAACGUUGGCGGCGUGGAUUAGGCAUGCAAGUCGAGCGAGAAGUUUUCCUUCGGGAGAAUGGACAGCGGCGAACGGGAGAGUAACGAGUGGAGUACCUGCCCCGAGACCCGGGAUAGCCGUGGGAAACCGCGGGUAAUACCGGAUAAUGUCUCCGGACCAAAGGUGCGAUUCCGUCUUGGGAUGGCUCCGCUUCCUAUUAGCUUGUUGGUGAGGUAAUGGCUCACCAAGGCUACGAUGGGUACCGGGUGUGAGAGCAUGACCCGGCUCACUGGGACUGAGACACUGCCCAGACACCUACGGGUGGCUGCAGUCGAGAAUCUUCGGCAAUGGACGCAAGUCCGACCGAGCGACGCCGCGUGCGGGAUGAAGGCCUUCGGGUUGUAAACCGCUGUCAGAGGGGAUGAAAUGCUAGGUGGCUAUCCAUCUAGUUUGACAAAUCCUCAGAGGAAGGACGGGCUAAGUUCGUGCCAGCAGCCGCGGUAAGACGAACCGUCCAAACGUUAUUCGGAAUCACUGGGCUUAAAGGGUACGUAGGCGGCUUGGAAAGUUGGGUGUGAAAUCCCUCGGCUCAACCGAGGAACUGCACUCAAAACUGCCAGGCUUGAGGGAGAUAGAGGUGAGCGGAACUCAGGGUGGAGCGGUGGAAUGCGUUGAUAUCCUGGGGAACACCAGUUGCGAAGGCGGCUCACUGGGUCUCUUCUGACGCUGAGGUACGAAAGCUAGGGGAGCGAACGGGAUUAGAUACCCCGGUAGUCCUAGCUGUAAACGUUGAGCACUGGAUCGGAGGAUUUCGGUUUUCCGGUCGUAGCGAAAGUGUUAAGUGCUCCGCCUGGGGAGUAUGGUCGCAAGGCUG